AACAUUCAAAAUCAAGAAAUCCUAAAAUCAUUUUUUCGCAGCAAAAUUGAUAGCCCAAAAUUGAUAACCCUAAAAUCAAGAACGCAGCUCCCACGAAGACGGUGCUCACCCUCACAGCCAUUCUUCCGCAACCAGCCGUCGCUCAGAGCCAGCCGCCGCUCAGGGCCAUUCGUCAGAAGCCACCAUCGCUGUCCACUCCACUCACAGUUCACAAGCACAUUUUGGUUGUUUAAAGUGUUCCGUCACCGUCUUCAAAGCAGAACGGUGUGCAAGAGCAAACUUUAGCUAGAUUGGAGACGAAGGGGGUGCGUCAAGUCAGGACUCUCAUUAUAUGGAGGACAGCGCACGCCAGGAGAAAGUUAGAAAGUAUGAAGAAUUUGUUGACAAACGCUUGAAACCCGAUCUUAUUCAUGCUAUUAGUCAACGGGACAAGGUUUUUUGAACAACAGCAAAUUUUGUAUCUUUUUAGGUUCGGUGUGUGCAGAUAGAAUCAGUUAAUAAUACCUUGUAAGACUGAAACAUCAACACAACAACUUUAUGUAUUAUUCAUUUCUCAUAAAGUCUGCAGUAGCAUUGAAAGUUCAAGUCAAGUAAAUCUUAGUAGUAGGCUGAACUGAAUUGGAGAUUAAUCUGCUUCUAUGAAUAACACCUAGAGGUAAAAAGCAAUUUUGACGUUGUUAUGUCACCUGACUUGUUCACUAGUUCUGAUCUGCGAAGAAACUUGAAACCUCGAGAAGAUAGUGUAACCAGUAUAAGAACUUUGGUCAAUCUUGGGUCUGAAUAUACCUGCAGCAGAAGUGUAAGUCAUUAGAAUUUCUUUCACAAACAUUUUGUUUUUUUUAGUUUGCUAAUGGGGCACCAUAUUUUAACACUAGUCCAUAUAAAUCAUGAUCAAACAUGUUUUUCAAUUGCAUAUCUUAUCUUUGGUCAGUCACUAGUCAUUGACAUUUUUGAUAUAUUUCAUUACAACGUCAUUCAUCAUCGUCUUAUCAACUAUUCAGGAUUUGUGCUACAUGGGCCAACGUGGAUGUAGACACCGUUCUACUGCCACUCCCCUCCUUCUUUUGGGUACAAUCAAUGGACAGAGAUUUAAACUCUGGAAACCCCUCCCUCACUACUAGUACAGCUAGUUCAUUUCAUUUGUGCAUUAUAAUUUGUGCAUCUUUGUUUUUGUCUGAAGUCCAUGAAAUGUAAAUCUCCUAUAUUUCAUGUAUUUUAUUUAAACUUUACAGGCCAGAUACUCAACGCAUAUUUGUGGAUAUAGGAUUUGGAUUCCAUGUGGAGUUUACUUGGUCUGAAGCUUUGAACUACAUAGAAAAAAGGGAAGAAAAGAUAGCCAGGCAGAUAGAAGAGUACACCCGGUUGAUUGCAUCAAUUAAAGCCCAAAUCAAGCUUGUAUGUCCUUAAUUCCUUUGCUUCUUAUAAUAUAUUCUUGCGUAAGUGGUGGUAAUUAGUUAAUUACGUACUACUUGUCAAAGCUUUCAAUAUUAGCUUGCAUAUCGUACACAGCCUAAGACCACAUGAGACAGAUAGGAAGCUCAAGCGUGAAGAACCCUCAAAGGGGUCUAUGCCCUUGAGGCCAAACCUACAUGCAUGUAGGUUAUGAACCAAUUUUUGGGUCAACUCACUAAGCAAGGAAAAGGUACCCCCACCUCAUAGGGGGUUGGCUCUAGCAUGCACUGGUGCAUACCAAUAGAAUUAACUAUGGACAUAUAAAAUGUGUAAAUUACAUUACCAAAUAUUUAAUUGAAAAACAAAUUGCAUGGUUUUGUUUUGAAUAUCCAGUGGUAAUGUGUUUGCUGUGCUUUAAAUUUUUAUUACCAC
Vigna umbellata (rice bean) is the source of this 1824-nucleotide non-coding RNA. The record is from RefSeq and is a predicted model, not a curated record. Lineage: Eukaryota; Viridiplantae; Streptophyta; Magnoliopsida; Fabales; Fabaceae.